RNAcentral lists this ribosomal RNA (549 nucleotides) under uncultured Rhizophagus. RNAcentral describes it as "SSU rRNA". It matches the Rfam family "Eukaryotic small subunit ribosomal RNA", at positions 548 to 1098 of the family's 1831-position model. The record is from RNAcentral. Lineage: Eukaryota; Fungi; Glomeromycota; Glomeromycetes; Glomerales; Glomeraceae.
UUGGAGGGCAAGUCUGGUGCCAGCAGCCGCGGUAAUUCCAGCUCCAAUAGCGUAUAUUAAAGUUGUUGCAGUUAAAAAGCUCGUAGUUGAAUUUCGGGGUUAGUAGGUUGGUCAUGCCUCUGGUAUGCACUGGUCUCACUGAUUCCUCCUUCCUGAUGAGCCGUAAUGCCAUUAAUUUGGUGUUGCGGGGAAUUUGGACUGUUACUUUGAAAAAAUUAGAGUGUUUAAAGCAAGCUAACGCUUGAAUACAUUAGCAUGGAAUAAUGAAAUAGGACGUUUGAUUCUAUUUUGUUGGUUUCUAGGAUCGACGUAAUGAUUAAUAGGGAUAGUUGGGGGCAUUAGUAUUCAAUUGUCAGAGGUGAAAUUCUUGGAUUUAUUGAAGACUAACUACUGCGAAAGCAUUUGCCAAGGAUGUUUCCAUUAAUCAAGAACGAAAGUUAGGGGAUCGAAGACGAUCAGAUACCGUCGUAGUCUUAACCAUAAACUAUGCCGACUAGGGAUCGGAUGAUGUUAAUUUUUUAAUGACUCAUUCGGCGCCUUACGGGAAAC